RNAcentral lists this ribosomal RNA (481 nucleotides) under uncultured bacterium. RNAcentral describes it as "bacterial SSU rRNA". It matches the Rfam family "Bacterial small subunit ribosomal RNA", at positions 329 to 802 of the family's 1533-position model. The record is from RNAcentral.
GUACUUACUCCUACGGGAGGCAGCAGUGGGGAAUUUUGGACAAUGGGCGAAAGCCUGAUCCAGCAAUGCCGCGUGCAGGAUGAAGGCCUUCGGGUUGUAAACUGCUUUUGUACGGAACGAAAAAGCUUCUCCUAAUACGAGAGGCCCAUGACGGUACCGUAAGAAUAAGCACCGGCUAACUACGUGCCAGCAGCCGCGGUAAUACGUAGGGUGCGAGCGUUAAUCGGAAUUACUGGGCGUAAAGCGUGCGCAGGCGGUUAUGUAAGACAGAUGUGAAAUCCCCGGGCUCAACCUGGGAACUGCAUUUGUGACUGCAUGGCUAGAGUACGGUAGAGGGGGAUGGAAUUCCGCGUGUAGCAGUGAAAUGCGUAGAUAUGCGGAGGAACACCGAUGGCGAAGGCAAUCCCCUGGACCUGUACUGACGCUCAUGCACGAAAGCGUGGGGAGCAAACAGGAUUAGAUACCCCAGUAGUCCAGGCAU